AAACAAGCGUCUCAGUUCAGAUUGCAGGCUGCAACCCGCCUGCAUGAAGUCGGAAUUGCUAGUAAUCGCGGAUCAGCAUGCCGCGGUGAAUACGUUCCCGGGCCUUGUACACACCGCCCGUCACACCAUGAGAGCCGGGGGGACCCGAAGUCCGUAGCUUAACCGUAAGGAGGGCGCGGCCGAAGGUAAAACUGGUGAUUGGGGUGAAGUCGUAACAAGGUAUC
This 224-nucleotide ribosomal RNA is filed under the name uncultured bacterium. Its description in RNAcentral is "partial 16S ribosomal RNA". It matches the Rfam family "Bacterial small subunit ribosomal RNA", at positions 1277 to 1500 of the family's 1533-position model. The record is from RNAcentral.